UGCGGAAUGAUUUUUUAAUUUUGUCGCUUUGUGGAUCCAGAAGUUUAUUUUUAGAUUGCUUAUGUUAGUGGUUAUUUCUUUUGUGGUUUGCGUUUGGUUGCAAAAUUAGACUCAUUUGGGGACUAUUCCGGUUAAAAAUGGAUUUGCAAGCUGAUCUUAUUGGUAUUUUGAUCGAUUGGAUUCAAGCAGAUUAGACGUGUUAGAGGUUCCUUGCAAGGGCUUAAAUUUGACAUUCGAAAGGAGGAACCUCUUGGGCGGUUUUGGUCUUGAUUACUUUCAAAUGCUCAAGGUUUGAAUUAGGAAACAUCACAAAAGAAGAGACAAUUCGGCAAACUAAUGAUGUGCAUUUUAAAAUGAUAAGAAUAGAGGACAAUCUGUUUGCCAAUAUUCAACAUUUAAGGGAAAAAAAUGCUUUGUAGAAAUAAUGAUGAACCAUGUCCGUGAUAAACAAUAAUUAAACCGAGAUGGUUCGUAUUUGGUCUUUCAUUCGUAUUAAACGGAACCCUCAACCUUUCUUCUUGGUUGGGGAAACUUGGCCUGCAUGUACUGUUUCAAUAGUAUCAGCAGGGAAUUUUUCUUCUCAGCAACGCUUGGCUUGUUUAUAUGGCUAGGAAUGGCUCUCUGGAGGGAUACGGUAGCCUACGGUUACAAUUCGCCAAUGACUGCCUUAAAGGAAUUAGUAUUUGGACCAUGAUACAGGUACUGCCCAUGGCGUAUUACUGCAACAUUACAUGGAUUAUUGUUUGUAGGCCAUUAUUUUUGCCAGAUUGUGGUCCAGUACUUCAGGUUGACAUUGGGAACAUGCUAUUCCAUUCUGGCCUUAUAGUUGCUUUGUGGAAAGCUGCAUGGAGCCAAAGAUGUUGGAGACCCUAUGUCGAGUGAGUUUGCUUCUGUGGCAGUUAUUUACCAAUGUAACUGGUUGCCUUCAGCAUGAAUAUUGUGAACAACUGAUAUAAAAUUUUGUAAUAUAGUAAUUUAAUAAUUUGCUAUGACUUUAUGAAUGGUUAUUUUCGAACAGUGCACUCUUCA
Molecule: long non-coding RNA, 1029 nt
Organism: Phoenix dactylifera (date palm)
Lineage: Eukaryota; Viridiplantae; Streptophyta; Magnoliopsida; Arecales; Arecaceae
Source: RefSeq, a predicted model, not a curated record